UUUUAAUCAGGCAACGAAGGAAAUCCCGUCCUCUCAUUGGCCAGGUUACUCUCCGGCGUAAUGGGGCUAAUUAGAGGGACCCCGCCGCUGAGGCGGAGGAAGGAGGGGGUUAGGCCAGGUCAGUAUGCCCCGAAACCCUCGGGCCACACGCGGGCUGCAAUGGUAAGGACAAUGGGUUCGGAGUCCGAAAGGAGGAGGCAAUCCUUAAACCUUACCUCAGUUAUGAUUGAGGGCUGAAACUCGCCCUCAUGAAUAUGGAUCCCUAGUAAUCGCGUCAACUCAAAG
Molecule: ribosomal RNA, 285 nt
Filed under: uncultured archaeon
Lineage: Archaea
Description: partial 16S ribosomal RNA
Rfam family: Archaeal small subunit ribosomal RNA
Source: RNAcentral